CCGGAUCUAGCUCAGUUGGUAAAGCACAAAGCUCUUAACCUUGUGGACGUGGGUUCAAGCCCCAUGGUGGA
Molecule: transfer RNA, 71 nt
Filed under: Triticum aestivum (bread wheat)
Lineage: Eukaryota; Viridiplantae; Streptophyta; Magnoliopsida; Poales; Poaceae
Also listed under: 2 other names
Rfam family: tRNA
About the family: Transfer RNA (tRNA) molecules are approximately 80 nucleotides in length. Their secondary structure includes four short double-helical elements and three loops (D, anti-codon, and T loops). Further hydrogen bonds mediate the characteristic L-shaped molecular structure. tRNAs have two regions of fundamental functional importance: the anti-codon, which is responsible for specific mRNA codon recognition, and the 3' end, to which the tRNAs corresponding amino acid is attached (by aminoacyl-tRNA synthetases). tRNAs cope with the degeneracy of the genetic code in two manners: having more than one tRNA (with a specific anti-codon) for a particular amino acid; and 'wobble' base-pairing, i.e. permitting non-standard base-pairing at the 3rd anti-codon position.
Source: Rfam by way of RNAcentral